GACGAACGCUGGCGGCGUGCCUAAUACAUGCAAGUCGAACGCUUUUUCUUUCACCGGAGCUUGCUCCACCGAAAGAAAAAGAGUGGCGAACGGGUGAGUAACACGUGGGUAACCUGCCCAUCAGAAGGGGAUAACACUUGGAAACAGGUGCUAAUACCGUAUAACACUAUUUUCCGCAUGGAAGAAAGUUGAAAGGCGCUUUUGCGUCACUGAUGGAUGGACCCGCGGUGCAUUAGCUAGUUGGUGAGGUAACGGCUCACCAAGGCAACGAUGCAUAGCCGACCUGAGAGGGUGAUCGGCCACACUGGGACUGAGACACGGCCCAGACUCCUACGGGAGGCAGCAGUAGGGAAUCUUCGGCAAUGGACGAAAGUCUGACCGAGCAACGCCGCGUGAGUGAAGAAGGUUUUCGGAUCGUAAAACUCUGUUGUUAGAGAAGAACAAGGAUGAGAGUAGAACGUUCAUCCCUUGACGGUAUCUAACCAGAAAGCCACGGCUAACUACGUGCCAGCAGCCGCCGUAA
This 523-nucleotide ribosomal RNA is filed under the name uncultured bacterium. Its description in RNAcentral is "partial 16S ribosomal RNA". It matches the Rfam family "Bacterial small subunit ribosomal RNA", at positions 28 to 523 of the family's 1533-position model. The record is from RNAcentral.